UUCCCCGUGUUUCCUGAUCCUGCCCUGGGUCUGCAGUCAUAGUUCUGGAAACUUCUCUUGGGUCCAAGACUAGGAGGUUCCCCUAAGAUCGCAUGGCCCUGCCUCCUCCCUGUCCCCUCACAGGGCAUUUUCUUCCCACAGGUGGAAAAGGAGGGAGCUGCUCUCAGGCUGCGUGUAAGUGAUGGCGGUGGGCGUGUGGAGGAGCUCACCCACCCCAUAAUUCCUCUUGUCCCACAUCUCCUGCGGGCUCUGACCAGGUCUUUUUUUUUGUUCUACCCCAGCCAGCAACAGUGCCCAGGGCUCUGAUGAGUCUCUCAUCGCUUGUAAAGCCUGAGACAGCUGCCUGUGUGGGACUGAGAUGCAGGAUUUCUUCACACCUCUCCUUUGUGACUUCAAGAGCCUCUGGCAUCUCUUUCUGCAAAGGCAUCUGAAUGUGUCUGCGUUCCUGUUAGCAUAAUGUGAGGAGGUGGAGAGACAGCCCACCCCCGUGUCCACCGUGACCCCUGUCCCCACACUGACCUGUGUUCCCUCCCCGAUCAUCUUUCCUGUUCCAGAGAAGUGGGCUGGAUGUCUCCAUCUCUGUCUCAACUUUACGUGUACUGAGCUGCAACUUCUUACUUCCCUACUGAAAAUAAGAAUCUGAAUAUAAAUUUGUUUUCUCAAAUAUUUGCUAUGAGAGGUUGAUGGAUUAAUUAAAUAAGUCAAUUCCUGGAAGUUGAGAGAGCAAAUAAAGACCUGAGAACCUUCCAGAA
Molecule: long non-coding RNA, 752 nt
Filed under: Homo sapiens (human)
Lineage: Eukaryota; Metazoa; Chordata; Mammalia; Primates; Hominidae
Description: long non-coding RNA NONHSAT117044.2
Source: RNAcentral